CCAAUAGCGUAUAUUAAAGUUGUUGCAGUUAAAAAGCUCGUAGUUGAAUGUCGGGGUUAGCAGGUCGGUCGUGCCAUGGGUAUGAACUGGCCUCGCUGAUCCCUACCUCUUGACGAACUGUGAUGCAAUUAAUUUGUUGUCGCAGGGAAUCAGGACUGUUACUUUGAAAAAAUUAGAGUGUUUAACGCAGGCCCACGCUUUAAUACAUUAGCAUGCAAUAAUGAAUAAGGACGUUUGAUCCUAUUUUGUUGUUUUCUAGGAUUGACGUAAUGAUUAAUAGGGAUAGUUGGGGGCAUUAGUAUUCAAUUGUCAGAGGUGAAAUUCUUGGAUUUAUUGAAGACUAACUACUGCGAAAGCAUUUGCCAAGGAUGUUUUCAUUAAUCAAGAACGAAAGUUAGGGGAUCGAAGACGAUCAGAUACCGUCGUAGUCUUAACCAUAAACUAUGCCGACUAGGGAUCGGAUGAUGUUAAUUUUUUAAUGACUCAUUCGGCGCCUUACG
RNAcentral lists this ribosomal RNA (500 nucleotides) under uncultured Glomeromycotina. Its description in RNAcentral is "partial small subunit ribosomal RNA". It matches the Rfam family "Eukaryotic small subunit ribosomal RNA", at positions 591 to 1092 of the family's 1831-position model. The record is from RNAcentral. Lineage: Eukaryota; Fungi; Glomeromycota.